GACGAACGCUGGCGGCGUGCUUAACACAUGCCAGUCGAACGGAAAGGCCCUGCUUUUGUGGGGUGCUCGAGUGGCGAACGGGUGAGUAACACGUGAGUAACCUGCCCUUGACUUUGGGAUAACUUCAGGAAACUGGGGCUAAUACCGGAUAGGAGCUCCUGCUGCAUGGUGGGGGUUGGAAAGUUUCGGCGGUUGGGGAUGGACUCGCGGCUUAUCAGCUUGUUGGUGGGGUAGUGGCUUACCAAGGCUUUGACGGGUAGCCGGCCUGAGAGGGUGACCGGCCACAUUGCGACUGAGAUACGGCCCAGACUCCUACGGGAGGCAGCAGUGGGGAAUCUUGCACAAUGGGCGGAAGCCUGAUGCAGCAACGCCGCGUGCGUGAUGACGGCCUUCGGGUUGUAAACCGCUUUCGCCUGUGACGAAGCGUGAGUGACGGUAAUGGGUAAAGAAGCACCGGCUAACUACGUG
Molecule: ribosomal RNA, 468 nt
Filed under: uncultured bacterium
Lineage: Bacteria
Description: partial 16S ribosomal RNA
Rfam family: Bacterial small subunit ribosomal RNA
Source: RNAcentral